GACGAACGCUGGCGGCGUGCCUAAUACAUGCAAGUCGAGCGAACUUUUGGGGGCUUGCUCCCAAAAGUUAGCGGCGGACGGGUGAGUAACACGUGGGCAACCUGCCUGUAAGACUGGGAUAACUUCGGGAAACCGGAGCUAAUACCGGAUAACUUCUUUUCCCGCAUGGGGAGAGGUUGAAAGACGGCGGUCUGCUGUCACUUACAGAUGGGCCCGCGGCGCAUUAGCUAGUUGGUGAGGUAACGGCUCACCAAGGCGACGAUGCGUAGCCGACCUGAGAGGGUGAUCGGCCACACUGGGACUGAGACACGGCCCAGACUCCUACGGGAGGCAGCAGUAGGGAAUCUUCCGCAAUGGACGAAAGUCUGACGGAGCAACGCCGCGUGAGUGAAGAAGGUCUUCGGAUCGUAAAACUCUGUUAUCAGGGAAGAACAAGUAUCGGAGUAACUGCCGGUACCUUGACGGUACCUGACCAGAAAGCCACGGCUAACUACGUGC
This 498-nucleotide ribosomal RNA is filed under the name uncultured bacterium. RNAcentral's name for it is "bacterial SSU rRNA". It matches the Rfam family "Bacterial small subunit ribosomal RNA", at positions 28 to 508 of the family's 1533-position model. The record is from RNAcentral.